RNAcentral lists this long non-coding RNA (2602 nucleotides) under Anneissia japonica. RNAcentral describes it as "uncharacterized LOC117116931". The record is from RNAcentral. Lineage: Eukaryota; Metazoa; Echinodermata; Crinoidea; Comatulida; Comatulidae.
ACAACAGCAACAUACAUCAAUUUACAUCAAUAUAAACAAUACUAAUACUAACACAAAUGUAUGGCUAAUUAUAUGGCUAAUUAGACAAAAAGUAUCAUAUCAUUUACAGGUAGAGGCGGUGCAUCCAGUUCUCAACAGCAGCCAGCUGGAGGUAGCGUUGGUGCACCUAGUCCACAAGGGCAGCCCGCAGAAGGAAUCUCCCCAGCUGCCUACGCCACUUUGCAGAGAGUUGUAUCAGGUUGGUGUACGGAAUUUGAAGGUGUCGAUAUGAUGAAGGUUUUACUUCGGCAAUUUAAGAAAAAAAUUGGUGAGGAUAGGCUAGAAAACACCAAUGACGUAAGGGAUUUUUUUGAAUUAAUGGAAAUGAUUGGUGAGGCGAACAGUUCAAAACAUGAAAUCAUUUUGGAGGCUGUUAAAAUCUGUGGUCUUGAAGGUGUAAGAUCAAAAAUUAGAUUAAUUAAGCCAACUUUUGAAAAUUUUAAGUUUGAAGAUGUAGAAAUCAGAACAUUUUCCCCUUACCGACAAAAUCUAAUAAAAUUUGGUAAAAGUUUGAGAAGGAGUGAUAUUGUGACUAUUGGUCACUUGGCUAAAAUACAUAAGAACAAACACAAACAUAAUCCGUGGCUACUAAUUGGUGCACUAGAAGAAAAUGGUAAUAUCAAAGCAAGUUCUGCAUCACAAGAUUUUAUCAACAUUUUAAGAUUAAAUGAAAUGGACAGAUACGCGGAUAUUAUUUUAAAUCUGGAUCAAUAACAAAUAUGGUUGAAAUCUGGACCAUGUAAAUAUAUGGUCAUUGUUAACAUUGGUAAUACACAGAUGUAGGCCCAUUACAUAGUGUAUUGUAUAAUAUUACAUAUGAAAAGUAAAUUAACAGAAAAUAUUUUGUGGCAAUUAUGAAUUUUUGAACAAAUUUAACCAGGGAAACAUUCUGAUAAUUAGUACGUAAACUAAUAUACAAAUAGGGAACGAUCCCACAAUUACCAACUUUUACUUUAAGUUAAAUUCAAAUAUAACAAACGAAAGUAAAAUGUAAAUACACAUAACAUGCUUUUAUUGUUUUCUAGAUCGCAACAGCAAAAACGCCCUUUUAAUAAAAGCUGGAAUUGCGAGGUACAUUGUUAAGCAUUAUUUAAAACUUACUGGCAUUGACAUGCAAUGGUUGACACAACUUAUUCCUCCAAGGUUAUGUAUGUUGCAACAAAGGUUCUAGAAACACAAGAAAGUGAAGCGAAUAAUCGUCAUGGCUUUAUACGCAUAUUCCGACGUACGCAGCGCGCUUCUCUUUCUGCUAAUUAUGGAAAUUAAUUGCUAAUUAGAAUCCAGCCGUACGCGGCACCCCAUUUUUUGCAUUUCCACCAUGCAUUUCGAUGCCACAGUUUCUUUUAUGUGGAGGCUCUCUUGUGUUUCUAGUAUCUUUGGUUACAACUAUUAUCUUACGAUAUUUAAUAAUACAGAAAUAAUGCUGGGAGAAAGGGUCAAGUAUUUAAAAUAGAAUAUAUUCAUACUCAUAAAUUAGGCAUUAAGCUAUUGUAUAUGCGGUGGCGUGAUAGUUACGUUUUACACAAAUAUUAAUGAAUCAUUAAUAAUUUUGUGCUAAAAAAUCAUAGAUAGGAUAGAACAAAAUUCGUUAUAAGUAUUUUAUAGGGCUAUACAUUAUUAUGAUUUCAUCAACAUGAAUUGUAAUAAAAAAUAUGAAAUACCAAGCAAACACAAAUGUCAGAAAAUGACGUUAAUUCAAGGCUGCAGCAACGUUGCGUUGUUACUUAACAUUAUGUUCUAAAUACACAUUUAUGAUUCUAUAAAAAAAAAAAAAACUGUUUUGUCCACUAAAUUUUCAUAACAUAAAAUUGUUGGCUGGGUAUGUCAAUUGUACUGAAAACUGCAAAUAUUGCAUAAUGUUCAUAACGCUAAUCUCAAAUUGGAACGAUAAGGUUAAAACUUUAAUAGGCCUAUUCACUGUUAGCCUAUAUUUUGCUUUUACUGUAUGCCUAUAUUGUUUUGUUUUAAAGUAGUUAACGUAUUUGGCUCAAGUUCAGCAGUUUUAAACAUAGAUUUAACAUUUACUUUGUGAUUUCAUAUACGCCUUAUAAUUAGAUUUCCUUAUUCUAGUCUUAGCUGUGAAAGUAGAAAGUAAGUGACGUGCAUAACAUUGGUUUUAGUCGGUAUUCUGCUAGCAAAGAUUUUUUUAAAACUAAGAUAUUGUAACGAUAAUUUGGUAUAUUUCGAUGUCAUCAAAUCCUUGUGUAGGCAUACUAAUGUCAGAUAAGUUAUAAAUAACCGUGACUAUAACAUCACUUUUGACGAAUUCGAUAUGUUUGUCAAUAAGAGAAGACGGCUAAAUACAUUUGUUAAGGUUGACGAUGCAUUAACAUUUUUAAUUUAUGAACUUUUGCAAUGGAUAUUCUGUUUUACUUAAAUUUAAAAAAAAUGUAAAAUACUGCCAUAAAUUGUAAACCAUGUGCUCUUAACAGCUUCUAAACAUCAUCAGAUAUAUUUAUUAGGAACAUGCAUAUUUGUAUAGGCCUAAUCAAGACAGUACAGAUGCUAAAAUGUCUUGAGAGUCAUAAUUUUGAGGCAAAAAAUUAAAAUGGAAGCCGCAAUG